Long non-coding RNA from Leopardus geoffroyi (Geoffroy's cat), 1204 nucleotides. RefSeq lists it as uncharacterized. The transcript is spliced from 5 exons. The record is from RefSeq and is a predicted model, not a curated record. Lineage: Eukaryota; Metazoa; Chordata; Mammalia; Carnivora; Felidae.
CCGGCGCCGGGCUGCAGAAAGUGGGUUUGCGCGGGCGCCGCGCUACAGCGAGUGCUAACCCCAAGCCCUAGCAUGGUCGUUACCUGGCGGUGUGACCUUGGACGAGUCCCUUCACCUCCCCGAUCCUUUGUUUCCCAUUGCAUUAGGGAGGGGGUGAAGUUAGACUGGUGUUUCUGGAACCCAUACUGGCUGCCAGAGGGAAGAAAGGAUGCCUGUUCUGGGGGAGAAGACUGACAUUCCUCCUCCCUGUCUCCCCUGUGUCGGGAUCUCUGCGGCCUGAGUGCCGUGACUGAGGCACAGUCCUGCCUUGAACUGGCUGUGUGACCUGAAGGCAGCCGCUUCACCUCUCUGGUCUCAGCGUCCUCCUCGGCAGAAGAGGCAGUGAUGCUCAGGUUUAUGGAGUACCUACUGCGGCCCAGGCCCUGUUUUAGUCUGUAUGCUCCUGAGAAAGAUGUGAUGAACUCGACAAAUUCCUUCGUUCUACAGGAAGAAAGAAGGUUAUACAAGAGCAGUGGGCUUCUGAGAAAAUGAGGAAAUGCUAACCUCAUUGACCGGCCUCCUGCAUCUGCCCCGAGGGACAGUAAUAAAAAACCCAUCUCACAGAACACCUCUGCUAUAUGACGGGCCUUGAUAAUAUUCCCUCUGUGGAUGAGGAAACCGUGCCGCCCUGGGCCUUGCAGAUCCAAGGGCCAUCUUACGAGGACACUCCUGUUACGCCCGUGCCUCCUCAGCCAUCUGCCUUCUCAUGCUGGGCUCACCUGCUCACCCUUCCUUCUUCGAACUGCACCAGCCGCCUGCCUUGCUAAGAACAGUUACCCACGAUGUGAAAAUAAGGCAAGGGAGGAAUGCGCGUCCUUUCACUGCCGUGCUGGAGUUGGAUCCGAAGGCUCUUCCAAGGAUUCUUCAAUGAUGCGUACCCUCGCUUGGCUCACCGUUUGCUAUUGAUCAGGACCUGGAUCCACUGGUUGCUUGGAGAUUCAUGCCGCCAGAUGGAGACACGAAUGAUUUCUGCCUGGUAGAAAAGAUGACCCCAAAGGGUAUGGUUAUGGAGGGACAUACACCAAUUUUGAAAAUCUAACCCAGUAGCUGUCUUAUCCCACAUUCUUCUUCAGUGGCUUUAACACCAUACUUCAGAUGCUCCCUCAGUCAGCUUGUCUCCCUGCCUGUUCCUUCAUGAAUGAGUAAAAGGAAUCUUUGACGCGUU